Molecule: ribosomal RNA, 618 nt
Filed under: uncultured bacterium
Lineage: Bacteria
Description: bacterial SSU rRNA
Rfam family: Bacterial small subunit ribosomal RNA
Source: RNAcentral
GGGGACAACAUUUGGAAACAGAUGCUAAUACCGCAUAACAACGUUGUUCGCAUGAACAACGCUUAAAAGAUGGCUUCUCGCUAUCACUUCUGGAUGGACCUGCGGUGCAUUAGCUUGUUGGUGGGGUAACGGCCUACCAAGGCGAUGAUGCAUAGCCGAGUUGAGAGACUGAUCGGCCACAAUGGGACUGAGACACGGCCCAUACUCCUACGGGAGGCAGCAGUAGGGAAUCUUCCACAAUGGGCGCAAGCCUGAUGGAGCAACACCGCGUGAGUGAAGAAGGGUUUCGGCUCGUAAAGCUCUGUUGUUAAAGAAGAACACGUAUGAGAGUAACUGUUCAUACGUUGACGGUAUUUAACCAGAAAGUCACGGCUAACUACGUGCCAGCAGCCGCGGUAAUACGUAGGUGGCAAGCGUUAUCCGGAUUUAUUGGGCGUAAAGAGAGUGCAGGCGGUUUUCUAAGUCUGAUGUGAAAGCCUUCGGCUUAACCGGAGAAGUGCAUCGGAAACUGGAUAACUUGAGUGCGGAAGAGGGUAGUGGAAACUCCAUGUGUAGCGGUGGAAUGCGUAGAUAUAUGGAAGAACACCAGUGGCGAAGGCGGCUACCUGGUCUGCAACU